This 253-nucleotide ribosomal RNA is filed under the name uncultured bacterium. RNAcentral's name for it is "partial 16S ribosomal RNA". It matches the Rfam family "Bacterial small subunit ribosomal RNA", at positions 524 to 776 of the family's 1533-position model. The record is from RNAcentral.
UACGGGGGGGGCAAGCGUUGUUCGGAAUUACUGGGCGUAAAGGGCUCGUAGGCGGCCAACUAAGUCAUACGUGAAAUCCCUCGGCUUAACCGGGGAACUGCGUCUGAUACUGGAUGGCUUGAGAUUGGGAGAGGGAUGCGGAAUUCCAGGUGUAGCGGUGAAAUGCGCAGAUAUCAGGAAGAACACCCGUGGCGAAGGCGGCUCUCUGGAACGCAACUGACGCUGAGACGCGAAAGCGUGGGGAGCAAACAGG